GAUGAACGCUGGCGGCGUGCCUAAUACAUGCAAGUCGAGCGAAUGGAUUAAGAGAUUGCUCUUAUGAAGUUAGCGGCGGACGGGUGAGUAACACGUGGGUAACCUGCCCAUAAGACUGGGAUAACUCCGGGAAACCGGGGCUAAUACCGGAUAACAUUUUGAACCGCAUGGUUCGAAAUUGAAAGGCGGCUUCGGCUGUCACUUAUGGAUGGACCCGCGUCGCAUUAGCUAGUUGGUGAGGUAACGGCUCACCAAGGCAACGAUGCGUUGCCGACCUGAGAGGGUGAUCGGCCACACUGGGACUGAGACACGGCCCAGACUCCUACGGGAGGCAGCAGUAGGGAAUCUUCCGCAAUGGACGAAAGUCUGACGGAGCAACGCCGCGUGAGUGAUGAAGGCUUUCGGGUCGUAAAACUCUGUUGUUAGGGAAGAACAAGUGCUAGUUGAAUAAGCUGACACCUUGACGGUACCUAACCAGAAAGCCACGGCUAACUACGUGCCAGCCGCCGCAGUAA
Molecule: ribosomal RNA, 515 nt
Filed under: uncultured bacterium
Lineage: Bacteria
Description: partial 16S ribosomal RNA
Rfam family: Bacterial small subunit ribosomal RNA
Source: RNAcentral